GAGGGGCAGAGGGGAGGGCCCGGGUGGGUGGUGCAGCGCUGUGUAGCCGGCGGGGCGGGUGGGGCCGCGCGUAGGGGGUUAAAUUGGGUUGUUCUGGGCGAGUCGGGGAGCGGGCAGCUUUCAGCCAGGUGUGGGGUGGUUAUUUCCUCAGGUGUGAGGGGAGAUUUGUGAGGGGUUUCUGUGAGCCCGGGGUUUUUUGCCUGCCUGUAACAGCAGGGCUCCCGGCUGAGGCGUCGAGGCGGCCGAGGCCUGGUCCUCCGCCUCAGUGCUAUGGCAGCCGCGGGGGAGAAACAGUGCCGAAAAGUUGGGCUGCCCUGCUCUUACCGCAGACACGCUUUCCUAGAAUAUGUAACUCCUCAGGUUCCUGACUAUCAUCCUGCUUUAUAGAAGGUGAGAAGUAGUGUGUUUUGGAGUCAGUAUGUAAUUUUGAACAUUUGAAAAAGAGUUCAAAGAGGACAUUUCUGUAAAUAACAAGAUUUUUGGAGAGGCACAGCCUAUUGGUGAUCCUCUAUUGCCCAGCGGUGUCUGAAGAUCCAUGAGAUCAGCAAGAGAGUAUUUGAGUUGAAGAGCCAGAACGGAGAUGUGUGUGUGCAAAAGAAAGGAGAUACAAUCGUGAAGGAAGUGGCUGGGAGGCUCUAAGGAUGUCUAAGAAGGUUUCUGAAAUGGGGAAAGUGCCAACCUCAGAUCAUCAAAGGGUUACCUCGUCAAAACUGCCCAAGAGGUUAUAACAAAGAUAAUAGAAUUGCUUGAGAUUUCAAAUACAGUCUGCUGCACAAAAUCCAGCAAUACUUCAGUUGCAUAGUGAAAGGCAACAGGAAAUCAGAAGCAACCUUACAACUCAGGAUAAAAGUAGCAUGAGAAAACUGAGGAUAUAAAGGCAGGGGAAAACCGACCUCUCUUCAGGAGGAAAAAUCAAGCUGCUGAUGUGUCUGGUUGGCAUGGUGGAGAAGAGGUAUAGGAAGUGUUCAGUUGUACUUGAAGGCUCCACCUGGGACUUGGACUCAUUUGUCGUACAUGCUGAAGAAAGCAAACGAUAAGAUAAAUGCAAUGGAAGACACUGUACCAAACAAUUAAUCAUUACUGCUAGCCUGCAUCACCUUGCCAUAUGAAAGAAAAAGCUCUAUGCUCCUUGAAUCGAGAAUCAGAAAUAAGAUCCUUUUAAAAGAAGAAAAAAUGCUCAGUUUUGUUCAAGUUUGCUCUUUCACAGCAAAACAGAAAUUUUAGUGUUCAUAUAAUCUCAAAUCAAGCCAGACAUUGGUAAGUAUAAUGGGACAUAGGUGCAUUUUAGUUCUUUUGUUGGUAAGAGUAAGUUGUAUAGCUGUCGAAUUGUGGCAUGUCUAUGAAAUGCUCAGUAAAACCAUUGCUGGGAGUGAUGACAUUUGUAUGCCAAAGGAGAGGAAAGAAUGCAGAUCUAUUAAGUGAACCUGUUAAAAUUGUGAAACACGUUUAAAACAGUGCAGAUGCCUUGGCCAUCUGCUAAGAAAUAUGUGUGGACAUAAUUACACAAACCAACUGUCAUUUCAUUAAAAAAAAAAAAUCAUUUUUAAGAAGUGUGCAGCCAAAGGAAGCAACUUCCCCCUCCCUCCAAAGCCCAUGUCCUUGAAAUAGCUAUAUAUUCUUGUUUAACACUCGGUUCCAAACAAACUGAUUUAUUCUUUGCUCUUCUUUCGCAUAUAAGGAUUUACAUCGAGUCUGUCCAUUGUAAGAAGUUGGAGCCUACUGUAGUUUAAACUGCCUGAACUAUACAUCAGAGUUUAUCACAAAUGCACGGAGGUACUUGUAACUGUACAGAUGCUUCUUAUAGUUGAUAUCACUGGAACCUUUGGCAGAAUUAUAUCUUUGCAUUACGUGGCUGCUUGUCCAUUAUUUUUAUUACAGAAAAACAGAAUAUGAGGUUAUGUGUUGGGAGUAUUGCUGUCCCUUUAAGUGUAUGUGAGAGCUGUAGAAGCCACAGAUUUAUAUUUGUAAAUAUAAAAGAUUUAAUAGAACCUAAUGAAGGCAGAGAACAUUUGCUUAUGCUCAAGUAUACCUUAAUUAAAAAUUUGAGGUAUUAAAAUUUGAAAGUGGCUGCAGUAAA
Molecule: long non-coding RNA, 2077 nt
Organism: Dromaius novaehollandiae (emu)
Lineage: Eukaryota; Metazoa; Chordata; Aves; Casuariiformes; Dromaiidae
Exons: 7
Source: RefSeq, a predicted model, not a curated record